CCUACGGGAGGCAGCAGUGGGGAAUAUUGCACAAUGGGGGAAACCCUGAUGCAGCGACGCCGCGUGAGUGAAGACGUAUCUCGGUACGUAAAGCUCUAUCAGCAGGGAAGAUAAUGACGGUACCUGACCAAGAAGCCCCGGCUAACUACGUGCCAGAAGCCGCGGUAAUACGGAGGGGGCAGGCGUUAUCCGGAUUUACUGGGUGUAAAGGGAGCGUAGACGGGUGCACAAGUCUGGAGUGAAAUCCUGGGGCUUAACCCCGGAACUGCUUUGGAAACUGUACGGCUGGAGUGCAGGAGGGGUAGGCGGAAUUCGUAGUGUAGCGGUGAAAUGCGUAGAUAUUAGGAGGAACACCGAUGGCGAAGGCGGCUUACUGGACUGUAACUGACGUUGAGGCUCGAAAGCGUGGGGAGCAAACAGGAUUAGAUACCCGAGUAGUC
RNAcentral lists this ribosomal RNA (440 nucleotides) under uncultured bacterium. RNAcentral's name for it is "partial 16S ribosomal RNA". It matches the Rfam family "Bacterial small subunit ribosomal RNA", at positions 338 to 795 of the family's 1533-position model. The record is from RNAcentral.